AGCUAAUAGAUACCCAGGUAGUCCACGCCCUAAACGAUGUCUACUAGUUGUUGGUGGAGUAAAAUCCAUGAGUAAACGCAGCUAACGCGUGAAGUAGACCGCCUGGGGAGUACGGUCGCAAGAUUAAAAACUCAAAGGAAUUGACGGGGGCCCGCACAAGCGGUGGAUUAUGUGGAUUAAUUCGAUGCAACGCGAAAAACCCCGUACCUGGCCUUGACAUGCCACUAACGAAGCAGAGAUGCAUUAGGUGCCCGUAAGGGAAAGUGGACACAGGUGCUGCAUGGCUGUCGUCAGCUCGUGUCGUGAGAUGUUGGGUUAAAGUCCCGCAACGAGCGCAACCCUUGCCAUUAAUUGCCAUCAUUUAGUUGGGCACUUUAAUGGGACUGCCGGUGACAAACCGGUAGGAAGGUGGGGAUGACGUCAAGUCCUCAUGGCCCUUAUGGCCAGGGUCUUCACACGUAAUACAAUGGUCGGUACAGAGAGUUGCCAACCCGCGAGGGGUAGCUAAUCUCAGAAAGCCGAUCGUAGUCCGGAUUGUUCU
Molecule: ribosomal RNA, 541 nt
Filed under: uncultured bacterium
Lineage: Bacteria
Description: bacterial SSU rRNA
Rfam family: Bacterial small subunit ribosomal RNA
Source: RNAcentral